RNAcentral lists this long non-coding RNA (408 nucleotides) under Papio anubis (olive baboon). RNAcentral's name for it is "lncRNA (ENSPANG00000048888.1)". Lineage: Eukaryota; Metazoa; Chordata; Mammalia; Primates; Cercopithecidae. The record is from RNAcentral.
AGUGCUGGGAUUACAGGCUUGAGCCACCGCGCCCGGCCUUGUGGGCUCUUAACAGAACACAGAUAUGUAGAACUCUUCUUGAAUUCUACAGCAGGAGCAAGUGGUGGUGCUUUUGGUAGCCAAAUGAUUGGAGACAUGGGUUUGCCAAACCCGUCCAGUUACGGUGGCCCAGCCAGCCAGCAGCUGAGUGGUGAUUAUGGAGGCGGAUGUGUGUGGUGGCCAGAGCAGCAUGAGUGGAUACGCCUAGGCGACAGAGCGAGACUCCAUCUCAAAAAAAAAAAAAGAAGAAAACUAGUCAUUGCAACUUUGGUGGAAUACUGUCGAGCCAGAAAAUAUCUGCCUCCAUUUAUUAAAACGACCAAGUUUUACAGGAAAACUUCAGUGAUUUUUCAAUGAAACAUUGCAUAG